UUCGUGUUUCCCUUCAUGUUUCUCUCUUACAAAUUAGAUAUGCCUUUACGUUUUGAUGAAUCUGAUUUAGGGUUUUUUUGUUGUUGUAAUGUUUUGUUUUGUUUUCAAUGAUAAAGUUUAGUUUUUUUUUUUGUUGUUAAAUCCUCUGAAGAAAAGUUUUCAUCUUUAAAACAAUUUUUUUUUCAUUAUCUUUUAUCUUUCAUGUUUCUAGUUUUUUUCUUCAGGUUUUGAGGAGUUUCAGUUUAGUUAAAUAUAUAUAUUUUAUAAUUUUAAUUUUUCUUCAUGUUUUGUGUUGUUAAUUCAUUUUGUGCAUCAAGGUUUCUUAAGUUGUGUUGUUUUCCAGAUGUGAGUUUCACUUCUAACAUUUAAUCUGACCACUUCCUUCUCACUUUUAUUUUCCAAAUCAGAGUUUCAAUUUUAACAGUUUUGGAGCCGCGAUCUAUAACUCUUCAUUAUUGUUGCUGCUUAUUUUUUGUUUUUUAGAUUUAAUCUGACCACUUCUUUCUCACUUUUGUUUUUUAUUUUUCAGAAAUCUGACCACUUCCUUCUCACUUUUUCCGUUCAGAGUUUCACUCAACAAGUUUAAUCUGGCCACUUUCUUCUCAUUUUUAUUUUCUACACAACUACUUGUUUUUGUUCCUAGUUGUUCCAUACACUUAGAGUGUGUUUGGAUGGAGCAUUUUAACGAGGGAAAGUAAUUUUUUGAGGGAAUUUAAAAUAAUUUGACCAAAAUUCAUUGUUUGGAUACAAAAAUGAAGAAUUGUUAAAAUGAUGGAAAUUUAUGGAGUAUUUCAUUUAAGUUAAAUUUAAUCAUUUUGAAAUGACACCAAAAACCAAAGAAUUUGAAAUUCCUCUCAUGUUCCAUAGAAUGUAUUUGUUAUUAUUAUUUCUUCAAAAUUUACAAAUUAGUCCUCAUAUUUUUCAAAAAUAUAAAAUUGACCCCAAUUUUUUUAAAAAAAUUGCAAAUUGGUCCUUAAUAAUUUUUAAAUUUUACAAUUUGGUCCUUCAAAUUUUUAAAAAUUACAAAUUGGUCCCUACUUUUUCAUUUUUUAAUUUGGUCCAAAAAAUUUAAAUUUUAUACAAAAUGACACCAAAAAUCUAACAAUGAAUUAUCUUAAUACUUCAUCCAAACAAAACAAUUUAAAAAUGAAUGGAUUUGAAUUGAAUCAUUUGAAUUGCUUUGAAUUUUAAAUUACUUUAAAAUUUCUAAUUACCUCAUCCAAACACACUCUUAGUGUUACUCUCUUAUUAUUGAUGCGGAUUUCUGAUUAGGUAACUAAGUAUCUCGUUUACCUUCCUUUAAUUUAUAGGUUUGGAUUUCAAUACUAACACUCAGUAUUGUUUUAGAUUGUUUGGGUUAGUUAUGAAAUUUUAUUGCAAGUAACACCUAAGUAAUUAAGUCUUAAAAUUUAAAUUCACAUAAAACAAAUUAGCCCAAAUUCUCCUACCCAACUUUACCCCCAUGAGUUCUGAAUUGUCCAAAGCCAGUAGAAAAAAGGUUUUGGACAAUUCAAAACUUACGGGGUAAAGUUGAGCGGCUCUGAAUUGUCCAAAGCCAAUAGAAAAAAAAAUAAGGUUUUGGACAAUUCAAACUUAUGAGGUAAAGUUGAGCGGCAGUAGUUGGAAGACAAUUUACAAUAGGGUCAAUAAGAGUUUGUAUUGAGAAGGUAGCAGAACUAGAAAAAAAUCUCCCAUGCCAGAACUGGUGCUCAAGUAGGUAAUCCUGGUAAACAUAGACAUGCCGGAAUGGUAAAAGUAAUUUACUAUCUACCCAUUAUUAAACAAUGAACCAUUCUUCCUAUUGUGCCCUUACCUAAAAAAAAUUUAGGCUACAACUUGGACAUUUUAGUAACUAGCAAAAUAAACAUUUACUUUAUCAUCUUUUCUGUCUGGAUGCCCCAAAUGUUCAUUUUUCAUUGGUCUAGUUUAAAUUAUAUUUUUCCGUCAAGACAAUCUUACACUCAACAAAAGAAACAAUAGUACACUCCAAGGACACUAAUUCCUCAGUCUCUAUUUUCUCUCUCUGCUCCUGUUUUCUCUUGUCUCUCUUUUCCCUCCAGUUCUCACCAUCACUCAGUCCUCACCAAAAUGGGCACAUUCCUCCGUCCUCACCAUCACUAAAAGUGUAGAACAUUGCUCACUCUUCAUCAAAUGGGAAAUAUGUCUUCUCCUCCCACCUUCCUCACUCUCCUUCCUCUUCACCCUCUUCUCUCUCCACGUUAACUCUUCCUCAAUCUCUAUUCCUUUCUCCAAUUUUUCAAUUUCACUUUUUCAGUUCAAGCGAACGAAGUCAUUUCCGAAGACGGUUUCACCGUCACAACCGUUCUCGAUGGUCACAAGCUUCACAUAAACCCUUUCUCCGUUCUCCAACGACCCCAUUCCUCCGAGAUCUCAUCAUUGUUACUCCUCAAAUAGUACUUUCUACACUGUCCAAUCACCCAUUUCCCAAGAAAGUGUUUUCAAAAGGUUUUCUGGAAAUGGGUUGCUUGGGUAUGGUGAUGGUGAUGUGUGUUCCGCAAGGUUUUCCAAAUCUAAAAGCUUUGUUGUUCAUGUAAGAGGGAAUGUGUAUGUUGCUGAUAUGGUUAAUAAGGUGAUGGGGAAAAUCAGCACCAAUGGUAUGUUUCUACAUAAACUUUUCUAUGGCUUGGUUCUAUCUUUGGGUUUUAUCUAUUUAUACAUGAGGAUAUUUUAUCUUUUUCCUCAAUUUUAAUGUGUGCACUGUAGAACAUCAAAUGUAGUCUCUGUGUUUGAGAACAAAGGACAUAAGCUUAUUUCAUUUUACUUCUGUCAUUAGUCAUUGGUUUCAAGGUUUCUCAUUUGUUUAAAAUGAUGUUAUUUGUUUCAAGGUUUGUCAUAGAGAUAAUAGUAAAUUACAUGAACAACUUACUCAUUACAACUAAUUGAUUCCUACAAAGUGUUUAUGUAAAUUGGAGUGAGACUUGGACCAAAGUGGUAAAACAAUUUGUUGAAGUUGACUUAUUAUGGUUUUACAUGAGAUUUAGCUUUCCAAAGCUCUGUUUCUCUCUUUUUUAUUGAAACUUUAAUUUCUUUUCCGACUUUUCUCACAAUGUAUUUUCUCAUAAUUUUAUUUCAUUUCAUUUGGCAAUUACUUUUGAAAUUUCGUUUCAUGCUCAGAAGCUGAGCUGAGCCACGCUGCUGAUGCGCUGAGCACUGGAAAUCCAACAAGUUUGAAGCAUCAGGAAGAAUGAAACAGCAUAAUGACCAUCACGAGGGACGAGACCAACAACUUUUUCUCCUUCUCAUACCCAUUUGCAUCCCUAUUAACAUUACAUUCCUAUUAACAUAACAAAGUUGGGUAUUUGGUAUUUUCACUAAAAUAAUCAACCUUUAUGAGCUACUUUUGUUAUUGUUUGCUUUAGUUUUUCAACUACACACUUGUGUUCUCAAAGUGAAUAACCUGUGAUGAUGGAUGUAAGCAUAAAAGGAGGUGUAGCUGGUGGAAGCAUUCUGAGGAAAAGGAUUAGAGAAGGAACUUCAUAGCUUACUUCCUCCAUACGUGUCGAAUGGAAUUAGAGUCACACCUCCUCCAUACGGCAUCGAUAUUACAUGGCUCAAAGCAAAGAUGAUUGGCAAUGUAAGUUCCAUGUCACCUUGAUGAUAAAUAUUCAAGGUUCUGUUUUUCAUUAUCUUUUAUCUCUUCAUGUUUCUAGUUUUUUUCUUCAGGUUUUGAGGUGUUUCAAUUUAGUUAAAUAUAUAUAUAUAUUUUAAUUUUAAUUUUUCUUCAUGUUUUGUGUUGUUAAUUCAUUUUGUGCAUCAAGGUUUCUUACGUAGUGUUGUUUUCCAGAUGUGAGUUUCACUUCUAACAUUUAAUCUGACCACUUCCUUCUCACUUUUAUUUUCCAAAUCAGAGUUUCAAUUUUAACAGUUUUGGACCCGCGAUCUAUAACUCUUCAUUAUUGUUGCUACUUAUUUUUUGUUUUUUAGAUUUAAUCUGACCACUUCCUUCUCACUUUUAUUUUUUAUUUUUCAGAUAUUUGACCACUUCCUUCUCACUUUUUUCCGUUCAGAGUUUCACUCAACAAGUUUAAUCUGACCACUUCCUUCUCAUUUUUAUUUUCUACACAAUUACUUGUUUUUGUUCCUAGUUGUUCCAUACACUUAGUCUUACUCUCUUAUUAUUGAUGCGGUGAGACUUGGAAUGAGACUUGGAUUUCUGGCAAUCCCUUUGAUUAUGUAAGAAAGCCCCAGUAUCUCGUUUACCUUCUCAGUACAAACUCUUGUUUAAUUUUUAGGUUUGGAUUUCAAUACUAAAACUCAGGAUUGUUUUAGAUUGUUUGGGUUAGUUGUUUGGGUUAGUAUGUGUUUCAUGUAAAAGUUUGUAUUGUCUUGGAAAGUUAAACUUUUUCAUAAAUUGUGAAAUUUUAUUCCAACUAACAUCUAAGUAAUCAAGUCUUAAAAUUUAAAUUCAAAUUCAACUAACACUUUUAGUAUAAUUCAAAUGAUCUGUAUAAAAAAAAUAAAAUAUAAAACAAAUUAGCCCAAAUUCUCCUACCCAAUUUUACCCCAAGAAUUUUGGAUCGUCCAAAGCCAAUAGGAAAAAAUACUGUUUUGGACAAUUCAAAAUUCAUAGGGUAAAGUUGAGCUGCAGUAGAAUUUGUCAUAAUUCGUUUUAGUUUUUGAUACGCUAUCAAUGACAAUUUGAAUUAUUCAUGUAAAAGAUCUUAGUUGAAUUUGAAUUUCCAGACUUUAUUACAGAACAUAAAAAGUGUUAGUUGGAAGACAAUUUACUUAAUUACAGAACAAAAAAAGUGUUAGUUGGAAGACAAUUUACUUAAUUACAUUACAAAAAAGGUAUUAGUUGGAAGACAGGUAACUUUCCAACUUAUCCAUAAUGUAUAUGUUAAUUCAAAUAUAAUCCAAUUAAUACAUUCCACAAGAGUUUGUAUUGAGAAGGUAGCAGAACUAGAAAAAGUAUUGGCCGAAGCCUUCAUUGAUAGUGUCGAAGCCUUCUAUGACAGUAGACAAUGCCUCUGAAACACAUCAUUGGAUGAUAGUAGAACCACAAUCCGGGAAAGUCUCCCAUGCCGGAACUGGUGCUCAAGUUGUGCCACAAGGUUGCAGUUUGCUGGAGAGGAGAUUUAGGAGAAAAUGGGAGUGAUUUCAGUUGAGUUGCUGAAGAAUCAGUUUAAGCUGCUGAAGAAUCGGAGAGACGUUGGAGAUGGUACUGAAGUGUGACUGGAUCGUGGGAAAAAUUCUAAGAAAAUAACGCAAGUGGCGGGGGGCCACUUGCUAAAGGGACGGACGCCCUCUUUCUUUUAUUUCUUUUUCUUCUUUUUCUUCAAAAUAGCUUAGGUGCGGGGGCCACCAAGGGAGGGACGGACGUCACUUUCUUCUCUUCUUCAUUUUCAUCUUAGGCACGUGGGGUGGGCGUCCCGACUUUCUUUCUUUAUUAUUUUUUUCCACUUCUUUUCUUUAAUAAAUAAUGGGUCUCCAAUCGAGCUUUUGCAUUUCUUCAUUUCUUCACCGAAUAAUUCUUUGAAAAUACUUUAUUUCUUCUUCUUUUUAAUCGAACUCGAGAAAAAUUAAAUAUGUGAAAUAAAACGAGAAUACCGGCAUAAUACUAAAAUAAAACAAUAUAAUUAAUAUAAAAUAAAGACAUAAUUUAUGUUAAUUGAAUCAAAUAAUACGAUAUAUUUUCAUGUUAUCAAACUCCCCUAUACUUGAACCUUUGUUUGUCCUCAAGAAAAUAAUCAUUAAAACAGUUGGACAAUACAGAUUAAAUGCAAACUCAUAACACAACUCGAGUUGUACUAGGUUACGGGAUGUUAUUGUUAGAAUAUCAUGAGAUCAAUCUCAACACCAAAAAAUACAGUAACGACACUAGACAACUCCGCCAUAUGCAUACCAAUCCGAAUCAUGCCAUCAUAGCUCGACCUUAUCCUUUUCGCUUGUUUUACCCAUUUUCAUUCACGCGCAAUCACAUUAAGCCCAUUAUCUUAUCACACACAUAGUAGAGUAGUCGGUUAGUGAUUAUGAUCCUUUUAAGCAUGGAGUUCUUGCACAAUUACGUGGUAUACUCCUUUUAUAUUUACUCAAUUGCAGGUUGUGGGGGAUCGAACUGUAGUUUGCCCUACCAAGUUCAGUACCAGAAAACUUUUGAACCAACCAACAAUGAGUUUCUUUUGUCAAAUAUCUUAGGUUCCAUGACCGUUUGGUUAAAUGACCGGGUGAGAGUCACCUAACUUAGUUGGUACAUUCCCUAUAGCAAUGAAUUGUUAUUUUUAUAAAUUAUAAGGAUCAUUCACUUCGACUCUCUACGUAGUUUGUAUUUAAGACGGAGCCGACUGCUAAAUAAACUGCUCAUGGUUACUUUAAACUAAAGUUUUAGGUUUCGGUAUAAUAGGUACUCAAAUAGGUCUUGCAUACUCGGGGGUUUUAGAAUGGUGAGACGGUAAUAAUAUUGUCUUAACUUCACUCAAGUUUCUAACAUUUCUUAAAAAUGAGUAACCUUCAUACUUUCGGGCGUGUAGAGCUAUGCAUCUAGUCAUGCUAAUUUUUUUUUUGUUAUGGCUCAAGAAAUUGAGGAAUUAAAAUAAGUACCAAAAAUUCGCAUACGUAGGAUUUAACUAACUUAAAUUUUUUAUUGAAUGGAAAUUGCGACAAAGAAAAAUAAAAGAAACAAAGAAAUUCUUCCCCCACACUUAAAAUGUGCAUUGUUCCCAAUGCAACAAGGUUGAAAGAAAAAUAACUCCUACUCCUCACUUUGUUAGGGCAUCCUUCUUCAUCCUCUAGUUCGAACCCUUCUACGCCUAUCCGAGUCAGGUGGUGCCUCAAAUUGUUGAAAGUAGUUAUGAACGUCGCCCACACGAAGUGCCAACACUUGCAUUUCGUCGCUUAAACCUCACACGCGGUUGGUCAUUUCCUGAUAGUUGUGGUCAUUUCGACUCUAUAAUUGUUGGACCAUUUGCAACAUUUCAUUGUGCCUUUUGUUGGAUACUACAUUUUUUUGCAUGAUGGCAUCGUAGAGGGUGUUCAUAGUGAUUUGCGGUGGAACAUUUUCGGGAGCCCUAGGCGGAGGAGGAUAUAAUGGUGGAAGG
Vicia villosa (hairy vetch) is the source of this 7058-nucleotide long non-coding RNA. RefSeq lists it as uncharacterized. Lineage: Eukaryota; Viridiplantae; Streptophyta; Magnoliopsida; Fabales; Fabaceae. The transcript has 4 exons. The record is from RefSeq and is a predicted model, not a curated record.